This 468-nucleotide ribosomal RNA is filed under the name uncultured bacterium. RNAcentral's name for it is "partial 16S ribosomal RNA". It matches the Rfam family "Bacterial small subunit ribosomal RNA", at positions 28 to 507 of the family's 1533-position model. The record is from RNAcentral.
GACGAACGCUGGCGGCGGGCUUAACACAUGCAAGUCGAACGGAAAGGCCCUGCUUUUGUGGGGUGCUCGAGUGGCGAACGGGUGAGUAACAAGUGGGUAACCGGCCCUUGACUUUGGGAUAACUUCAUGAAACUAGGGGUAAGACCUGAUAGGAGCUCCUGCGGAAUGGUGUGGGUUGGAAAGUUGCGGCGGGUGGGGAGGGACUCGCGGCUUAUAGACUUGUUGAUGGGGGAGUGGUUUACCAAGGCUGUGACGGGUAGCCGGACGGAGGGGGUGGCCGGCCACACUGGGACUGGGACACGGCCCAGAAUCGUAGGCGACGCAGAAGUGGGGAAUAUUGCCCAAUGGGCGGAAGCCAGACGAAGCAACGCAGCGUGCGGGAUGACGGUAUUCGGGUUGCAAACCGCUUUAGAAUGUGACGAAGCGUGAGUGACGGUAAUGGGUAAGGAAGCACCGGCUAACUCCGUG